Molecule: ribosomal RNA, 541 nt
Filed under: Enteropneusta sp. BOLD:ADK9472
Lineage: Eukaryota; Metazoa; Hemichordata; Enteropneusta
Description: partial 16S ribosomal RNA
Rfam family: Bacterial large subunit ribosomal RNA
Source: RNAcentral
CGCCCCCCGAACCCCAAAAUAUGGGGGGUACUGCCUGCCCAGUGAAUUUACUUAAACGGCCGCGGUAUCCUGACCGUGCGAAGGUAGCACAAUCACUAGCCCUCUAAAUAAGGGCCGGUAUGAAUGGCAACACGAAGGCCUAACUGUCUCCUCUUUUACUAAUUAAACUUCUUUGGCUGUGCAAAAGCGGCCAUUCAAGCGCUAGACGAGAAGACCCUAUCGAGCUUCAGGGAUAAGAGAUCGACUGAAAACUAGGUCAACUGAACCCACGGUGUGCCAACUCUUAACUCAUACUUCUAGUUUCGAUCCCGCUCUCCUCCUCCCUUUGGUUGGGGCAACCACGGAGAACAGUCACCCUCCGAGCCAAACUAAUUUUAAACGACAUUACGUCUUAAGUAUAAAUCUUAUGGCAUUUGAUCCGGUCUAACCGAUCAACAAACAAAGUUACCGUAGGGAUAACAGCGUAAUCCCUCCCAAGAGCCCGCAUUGCCGGAGGGGUUUGCGACCUCGAUGUUGGAUCGGGGAAUCCUGAUGGUGCAGC